This 250-nucleotide ribosomal RNA is filed under the name uncultured bacterium. RNAcentral describes it as "partial 16S ribosomal RNA". It matches the Rfam family "Bacterial small subunit ribosomal RNA", at positions 89 to 339 of the family's 1533-position model. The record is from RNAcentral.
UGGUUAGUGGCAAACGGGUGAGUAACGCAUAGGUAAUCUGCCCCUAAGACUGGGAUAACCAUUCGAAAGAAUGGCUAAUACCGGAUAUUCUUAUUUUAUCGCAUGAUGAAAUAAGGAAAAGUCCGCUGCUUAGGGAGGAGCUUAUGUCUGAUUAGCUAGUUGGUAAGGUAAAGGCUUACCAAGGCGAUGAUCAGUAGCUGGUCUGAGAGGAUGAACAGCCACACUGGGACUGAGACACGGCCCAGACUCC